RNAcentral lists this non-coding RNA (186 nucleotides) under Lysobacterales bacterium. RNAcentral describes it as "partial 6S RNA". It matches the Rfam family "6S / SsrS RNA". Rfam says of the family: E. coli 6S RNA was the first non coding RNA to be sequenced, but its function was unknown until recently. It consists of 184 nucleotides that fold into an extended hairpin structure with a large single-stranded internal bulge. Lineage: Bacteria; Pseudomonadati; Pseudomonadota; Gammaproteobacteria; Lysobacterales. The record is from RNAcentral.
UGCCCUCUGUGGUGUUAGCCAGUAGGCUCGAUAGAUACCUUGUCCCUACUUUACAAUUCCGGGUUGGUAUCUCUGAAUGCUGUUGUGCAUGUUCGUCCUGGUACGAAAAGCCUGAAGCACAAGAGGCCGUCCCACUUGAGCCUUUGGUUCAAGGGAAUCGGGUCCGCAGCGGCAUUCACGGAGGGU